CACGUAGGGCGCGAGCGUUGUCCGGAAUUAUUGGGCGUAAAGGGCUCGUAGGCGGUUUGUUGCGUCGAAAGUGAAAAUCCGGGGCUUAACUCCGGACUUGCUUUCGAUACGGGCAGACUAGAGGUAGGCAGGGGAGAGUGGAAUUCCUGGUGUAGCGGUGGAAUGCGCAGAUAUCAGGAGGAACACCGGUGGCGAAGGCGGCUCUCUGGGCCUUACCUGACGCUGAGGAGCGAAAGCGUGGGGAGCGAACGGA
This 253-nucleotide ribosomal RNA is filed under the name uncultured bacterium. RNAcentral describes it as "partial 16S ribosomal RNA". It matches the Rfam family "Bacterial small subunit ribosomal RNA", at positions 524 to 776 of the family's 1533-position model. The record is from RNAcentral.